UACGUAGGGGGCAAGCGUUGUCCGGAAUCAUUGGGCGUAAAGAGCGUGUAGGCGGCUCGGUAAGUCCGCUGUGAAAGUCCAGGGCUCAACCCUGGAAUGCCGGUGGAAACUGUCGAGCUCGAGUCCGGAAGAGGCGAGUGGAAUUCCUGGUGUAGCGGUGAAAUGCGCAGAUAUCAGGAGGAACACCAAUGGCGAAGGCAGCUCGCUGGGACGUGACUGACGCUGAGACGCGAAAGCGUGGGGAGCAAACAGG
Molecule: ribosomal RNA, 253 nt
Filed under: uncultured bacterium
Lineage: Bacteria
Description: partial 16S ribosomal RNA
Rfam family: Bacterial small subunit ribosomal RNA
Source: RNAcentral